Small nucleolar RNA from Lolium rigidum, 139 nucleotides. RefSeq annotates it as small nucleolar RNA Z247. Lineage: Eukaryota; Viridiplantae; Streptophyta; Magnoliopsida; Poales; Poaceae. The record is from RefSeq and is a predicted model, not a curated record. The transcript has a single exon.
AAGAUGGAAGACGAUGAUCUGGCCGCAUACAUCUUGGCCGGGCUGGACGCGGAGUGGAAUCCGCUCGUGACGGCCAUGAUCACCAGGACCGACACGGUCUCCCUCUCCGAGUUGUACGCGCAUCUGCUGAACUUCGAGA